AGAGUUUGAUCCUGGCUCAGAACGAACGCUGGCGGCAGGCCUAACACAUGCAAGUCGAACGAACCUUUUAGGUGAGUGGCGCACGGGUGCGUAACGCGUGGGAAUGUACCUCGGGGUGCGGAACAACGUCUGGAAACGGACGCUAAUACCGCAUAAUGACUUCGGUCCAAAGAUUUAUCGCCCUGGGAUCAGCCCGCGUCUGAUUAGCUUGUUGGUGGGGUAACGGCCUACCAAGGCUACGAUCAGUAGCUGGUCUGAGAGGAUGAUCAGCCACACUGGGACUGAGACACGGCCCAGACUCCUACGGGAGGCAGCAGUGAGGAAUAUUGGACAAUGGGGGCAACCCUGAUCCAGCCAUGCCGCGUGAGUGAUGAAGGCCUUAGGGUUGUAAAGCUCUUUCAGAUGUGACGAUGAUGACGGUAGCAUCAGAAGAAGCCCCGGCUAAAUUCGUGCCAGCAGCCGCGGUAAUACGAAUGGGGCAAGCGUUGUUCGGAAUCACUGGGCUUAAAGCGUACGCAGGCGGGAUGGAAAGUCAGAAGUGAAAUCCCGGGGCUCAACCCCGGAACUGCUUUUGAAACUUCCAUUCUAGAAUCCCGGAGAGGUUGGCGGAAUUCCGAGUGUAGAGGUGAAAUUCGCAGAUAUUCGGAGGACACCAGUGGCGAAGCGGCCACUGGACGGGCAUUGACGCUGAGGUACGAAAGCGUGGGGAGCAAAC
Molecule: ribosomal RNA, 715 nt
Filed under: uncultured Alphaproteobacteria bacterium
Lineage: Bacteria; Pseudomonadati; Pseudomonadota; Alphaproteobacteria
Description: bacterial SSU rRNA
Rfam family: Bacterial small subunit ribosomal RNA
Source: RNAcentral